ACCAUAAUUCGCCUAAAGCAGGUGCAGCAACUUUCACCCCGCCUGGCAGCCCGCUGAGAGCGAGAGAAAACCACGUGCACCAAACUUUAGGGGAGGAAAAAUGGGAACGUGGGGAGAAGACGUGAGGCGGCAGAUCUGAAAAAGAUGGUAGGUGGAGGGACCCCAGGGAUUCACCCUGGCCUCGGACUAAUCCUAUGGGGCGCUUGCAAACCCCGGCCAUCCCCUGGAGUCUGAAGGUCAUUCCGGACUCCUGACGCCGCCAGUCCCGCGGUGAGACGUGAGCGCCAUUGGCGUCCGUGGCCUCUGUUUCCGUGGCAACCUAGUAACCAUUAAUUUUCAAUUAAAGGAGACAAAAAGCUCGAUGACAGCUCCAGGUCUGCUGAAGAUGUCAAGAAUCUGUAUUAAUAUACAGCAAGAGAGCAUAAUUGUGUGUCCAUCUUCCAGAGCAGCGAAAAAUGGAGGGAUAAUUACCAGCUCGAAAGCCACUCUGUAAUUUAGUUCUUACUGUCACCACAGCCCUACACAUUAGCAUAAAUUAAAAGCAGAGUUUAUUGUUAUCAAAGUGCAUUGAUA
This is a long non-coding RNA of Homo sapiens (human), 573 nucleotides long. Ensembl annotates it as FOXP4 antisense RNA 1. Its record names the gene FOXP4-AS1. The record is from Ensembl. NCBI's taxonomy places the organism in Eukaryota, Metazoa, Chordata, Mammalia, Primates, Hominidae.